This 242-nucleotide long non-coding RNA is filed under the name Phoenix dactylifera (date palm). Its description in RNAcentral is "long non-coding RNA (PDAC_LNC010189)". Lineage: Eukaryota; Viridiplantae; Streptophyta; Magnoliopsida; Arecales; Arecaceae. The record is from RNAcentral.
UGAUUUGUUAGACUGAGUUCUAAGACCUUGGCCAGGGCAGUAAUAUAAGUGGAGAAAGAGUUUUCCACUAUCGAACUCGAAUCGAAUAAAUUUUGACAUAUGACAGACGAUGGGGUUUGACGAGUUGUCCAUGACCUCCGUCCUGUAGGGAUCCACGAUAGUAGGACUGUAUCACAUGUUAACUGCACCUAGAGGUUCAUCAUUCCAUUCUGCUGGGUAGCCACUACAUGCUGCUAGGUGUC